This 80-nucleotide small RNA is filed under the name Flavobacterium succinicans. RNAcentral describes it as "Flavo-1 RNA". It matches the Rfam family "Flavo-1 RNA". Lineage: Bacteria; Pseudomonadati; Bacteroidota; Flavobacteriia; Flavobacteriales; Flavobacteriaceae. The record is from RNAcentral.
AGUGAACUUCGUUUGCAGUGAAAAUCCUUUUUGAGGCUUUUUCUGCCUCAAAAAGAUUGUAGCGUAAAGCCCGCCCCUUG